This 809-nucleotide ribosomal RNA is filed under the name uncultured bacterium. Its description in RNAcentral is "bacterial SSU rRNA". It matches the Rfam family "Bacterial small subunit ribosomal RNA", at positions 8 to 806 of the family's 1533-position model. The record is from RNAcentral.
AGAGUUUGAUCCUGGCUCAGAUUGAACGCUGGCGGCAUGCUUUACACAUGCAAGUCGGACGGCAGCACAGAGAAGCUUGCUUCUUGGGUGGCGAGUGGCGAACGGGUGAGUAAUAUAUCGGAACGUACCGAGUAAUGGGGGAUAACUAAUCGAAAGAUUAGCUAAUACCGCAUAUUCUCUGAGGAGGAAAGCAGGGGACCUUCGGGCCUUGCGUUAUUUGAGCGGCCGAUAUCUGAUUAGCUAGUUGGUGGGGUAAAGGCCUACCAAGGCGACGAUCAGUAGCGGGUCUGAGAGGAUGAUCCGCCACACUGGGACUGAGACACGGCCCAGACUCCUACGGGAGGCAGCAGUGGGGAAUUUUGGACAAUGGGCGCAAGCCUGAUCCAGCCAUGCCGCGUGUCUGAAGAAGGCCUUCGGGUUGUAAAGGACUUUUGUCAGGGAAGAAAAGGACAGGGUUAAUACCCCUGUCUGAUGACGGUACCUGAAGAAUAAGCACCGGCUAACUACGUGCCAGCAGCCGCGGUAAUACGUAGGGUGCGAGCGUUAAUCGGAAUUACUGGGCGUAAAGCGAGCGCAGACGGUUACUUAAGCAGGAUGUGAAAUCCCCGGGCUCAACCUGGGAACUGCGUUCUGAACUGGGUGACUAGAGUGUGUCAGAGGGAGGUAGAAUUCCACGUGUAGCAGUGAAAUGCGUAGAGAUGUGGAGGAAUACCGAUGGCGAAGGCAGCCUCCUGGGAUAACACUGACGUUCAUGCUCGAAAGCGUGGGUAGCAAACAGGAUUAGAUACCCUGGUAGUCCACGCCCUAAA